Small nucleolar RNA from Ornithorhynchus anatinus (platypus), 138 nucleotides. NCBI's taxonomy places the organism in Eukaryota, Metazoa, Chordata, Mammalia, Monotremata, Ornithorhynchidae. The record is from RefSeq and is a predicted model, not a curated record.
CCCCUCUCAGGGUUGCACCUGGAGAGUUUCCAGUAUUCUACCAGUCUCAGCUACAGGAGGAAGAGUCAAGCAGAGGCCUGUCCAUUCCAUUCUUAGCUUGGCCGGUGGCUAGCGAGUGGAAGGUAAUCUGCUACAAGU